GUGGGGAAUCUUCCGCAAUGGACGAAAGUCUGACGGAGCGACGCCGCGUGAGUGAUGAAGGCCUUCGGGUCGUAAAGCUCUGUCAUCGGGGACGAAUGGUCGUUGGAGUGGAAAGCCAGCGAAAUGACGGUACCCGAGAAGGAAGCCACGGCUAACUACGUGCCAGCAGCCGCGGUAAUACGUAGGUGGCAAGCGUUGUCCGGAAUUAUUGGGCGUAAAGCGCGCGCAGGUGGGAUCUUAAGUCCAUUUUGAAAGUUCGGAGCUCAACUCCGUGAUGGGAUGGAAACUGGGAUUCUUGAGUACCGGAGAGGAAAGCGGAAUUCCCCGUGUAGCGGUGAAAUGCGUAGAUAUGGGGAGGAACACCAGUGGCGAAGGCGGCUUUCUGGACGGUGUCUGACACUGAGGCGCGAAAGCCAGGGGAGCGAACGGGAUUAGAUACCCCUGUAGUCC
This 450-nucleotide ribosomal RNA is filed under the name uncultured bacterium. RNAcentral's name for it is "partial 16S ribosomal RNA". It matches the Rfam family "Bacterial small subunit ribosomal RNA", at positions 354 to 796 of the family's 1533-position model. The record is from RNAcentral.